This is a long non-coding RNA of Phragmites australis (common reed), 8108 nucleotides long. RefSeq lists it as uncharacterized. Lineage: Eukaryota; Viridiplantae; Streptophyta; Magnoliopsida; Poales; Poaceae. The transcript is spliced from 5 exons. The record is from RefSeq and is a predicted model, not a curated record.
GCUGACUACUUGAGAAAAACAUAUAAAUUAAUCAUAAACACAUCAUACUGUUGACUUCUCCCUGAUACUCAUUUGCCAAUCUAGUAAGAGGUUGCUUGAGACUGAACAAAAUAUCUGCAAUUAAAAUUGUCUAUACCUCAAUGAGUGUGGAUUUAGUGCCACUAGGGACAUAUGCACACUCUAUCCACACCAUUGAGGAUGCAUCGGGAUACAUGUAUCUCGGUGCGUAGUCAAUGUUGUGGAUAUGCAGUGCAUGUGGCCCUAGGGGCACCUUUGCUUUCCCAUGACUGAAUGGGUUAAGUAUCUUUAUGAUUUCAGAUAGCUGGUUGCUGGACGAACAGAACUAUGUAUAGGCUGCAGAAUAAUAUGGCAUUUUGCCCUUUUUAAUGUUGACUUACUAAUACCUUUUUGCAUAAAAGAUUCAUAAAGGAAAAAUUACUGUCAGCUGUGUUUCAGAAUAAUUUGUUAUUGGAUUCCUAUAGGCUGCAGAUACCUUUUUGGCAUCAAAGUGAUUGAGAAGUGAGUGAUGAAAGUGUCUUGUUGUCACUACGGACAGAGAAAGGUCCAAGUUCAAGCAUGGCUCCAGUUCCAAAGGAUGAACAGCCGGGCCCUGCGGAUCCAGUGAGUAUUUCAUCUUAUUCUUAGCAAACUAAGUGUCUUUCUCCUAAAGAAUGGAAACUAGGUGCUAAGCCUUAGGUAGAACGUUCUUGCUGUAGCAUUGCAAACAGAGAUGAUAUAUCAUCUAGUAUUGUGGACGUGAUCUUUUCCAGUUCCUUGGUGACUCUCAUUAUGACAAGGAAAUAGACCUAAAAAUUUUUGUAACAGCAAUUUGAGAAAAAAAAACUCUACUAACAUAUGGGGUGCUCAUGUUCAGGAAGUAAAAUGUGCUAUAAGUUUAUGGUCAACACUCAACAGAGCCAGUAACAUACCUCCAUUCAGCCAUAGGACUAGCGGUUUGUUCAAAGGAUCUUGAGGAGUCUCAACAAAGUAGUAGAACAAAGCUCUUCCAGCCUUUGCAUCCACCGUGACAUAUCCUGCAUAUUGGUCAAAUUCUACUACCUCCGUUUGCCCUGGCAUUGAUAUGAUCUUAUCCUGCUCCCGUAGAUUGUUUUUUGAGCCUCUAUGCACCGAGGGACUAGAUCUAUUCUUUAGAGUUGUAUCUUGUUUUCCUUGAACAUAUUUCCUGGAUAUUUUCAGUUGAUCAAACUCAAGAGGCUGGUUAGCCUGGUUUCUAGUGGCUGUGUUUGCAACGCUGAAGUAGAACAAGGACCAAAGUAUCAAGAGGCCUCUUUUCAUCUUGAUAGGAAGCGUGUGCAUGGGUGCUUGGUGUCUUGUGCUAGGUUGCCAUUGGUCAAUCUUUAUUUAUAGAGGGGACAUUGUAUUUGCAGUACAGUUGAAGGAGUCCUCCAAGGAAACCAUAAUAUGAUUGAUUCUUUGACUUUUCCGGCCAAGUUGGACUUAAAAAGCUCUUAAUAAUUACCUUUUGCUCAUGGCAUCCAUAUUUGUAAUGCCAAUGGUAUUCAAUUAAAAUUCUUAGUUCCUUUUUUUGUGGACUGUGACCUAACAAAAUUAGCACAAUUCCCAGAAAGGUACAACAGCUAUCUCUGGCUCAAUUAUAGUCAUUACAUGGGAAAGAAAAGGAAAAAGGUAUGCAAAUCAGAUUGAGGGUCCUUUCUAUCACAAUAUUGAUUAAGUGCACUGCGCGUAUCCUGAUCUUUGACCUUAUUUUAUUUAGUAUCAUACAUCCUCACACUCCUUUUAACAAGAUUCCAAGGCAUCUUUACUUUAGUGUGCUUUUCUGCUGUGGCCUGUAGUCUAAACCAAGGGAUUGCACUGCAUUUGUUGCUUCUUCUGAUUGACUUUUAACAAGAGUACUAUAAACUGUAAAAGUGUAUUUGAAGAGAAGACUAUUAGGUUAUUCAGUGAUCCCACAGAGCUGGGUGAAGUCGAGUUCUAGCUUAGUGCAACGGUCAUCAUCAUAGAGAAGUAUGUUGUUUCCUAGUUUCUCUGUUUCUAGAUUUGUUAUUCUGUUAAAAUGAGGCUAUACUUUUGUUGAUAAAAAGGUGUGGAAUUUAGUAACGAUUUAUGAAUUUUUGUACUCGGGUUGGUAGCAUCUGGUCAGCAACUCCAUCACUGUAUUGAUGCAUCGACAGUUGACACCUUGUCAUUUCCAUUUCAAUGAUGCAAAAUAUUGCUUUCUUCUCAUGCAUCUUCAAAAGAACAAAUCGAUCCACCUGAGUAUGGACACACAUUCCGUUUUGUUUUUUUGGUGGGUCUUUCAAGCAAGCUGCCCUUUUAUCUGAAACCUUCCUGUAGAAAAGUAGAUUCUAAACUUGAGCUGUGAGCAUAGAACAAAUAUUUUCGCCAAACUGCCAUUGACUGCUGACAAUAGCCCCUCUUCUCCAGGAAAAAGGAAACUGAAAAAUAAAGAUCUUUUAGAAAAGAAAUUGUCUCCUGGUUACUUUUUUCAUUCUUUUUUUAAAAUUUGUUUUUUUCCGUUUGUGUCCAAUUCAUAAGGUUCCUAUGCUGUCUUUGAAUAGACCAUCAGCUUAGCUUAAAUAUAUGCGGGCAUCACAUAACCAAUGUGUUGGUGUAUUUCUUUCUUUCCUUUUUUUUGUUUCCAGUUGGUGGUUAUGCACUGAAUAGGUCCACUUUGGGCUCAGAGUUGAAAAUCUAGCUGAUGGGACAGGAAGCAUCAACUUUAGAAGGGAAUCCCACUUUCUAGUAAUGCACAUAUGCUGAAUACUUCCAAGACAACACAUUGUCAAAGAAAAGUGAGCAAGAGGAAGGAAGAUGUGCACACAACAAGGCUUACAAAGGCAGCAAGGAAUCUUUCCUUCUGCUAGUACUCUGGUUCCUUACAAAGUCAUAUGUUUACCAUUAUGAAUAAAGAAGAAUUUCCUUAGUCAAGUCAAGUUUUACUCUGCACAGAAAACUAUCAAAAUCAUUCUCCAAUGGGCAUGCAAAAAGGAUUCUGCAACGCCCAAUGGAGAUCAAAGGCAACCAUUUCUUUUUUUGUCUGUUUGACUUCUGUAGGUUGCUAAUUGGGAAUGAACCUUCCUAUGCUUUCUUGAGCAAAUCAAGGUGUCUUCCGCUGUUGGAUUACUUGAUGGGCGGCAUUGGUAAAGAGUUUAGAUGCUGUUAGAGAAUCAUCUUGUGGUCCAUUGAAAAAUACAGCAGUGAAGGGAGACCUUUGUACACAAGUAUAGAAAGCUAUUCGACUUAUUCUCGGAAUGGAGUAAGGGAGGUAGCAAUAAAGGCUUGCGUUUCACUACUUCUUUCUUAAUAAAGUUUGCACUUUAUCCAACUUAAAUUUAUUGAAAUGACACGAGAAACUGCCCAAAUGUACACUUCAUUCCACUAUUUCCUAGAAGUACAAUUCUGUUUUUCUAAUGUGAAACUCAAAACAUCUAGGCAUCAUAAAACUAUUAGAGGUCAGUAUCUGGCACAACAAACUGCAACCAUUUCGAGAUAAGUAUUUCAUCAAUUGUUUAGGCUUAGACUUUUUGUAGAAAUUGAAUAAUUCAAAAUACAAUGUUGGUUAUUUCAUUCUUUGUAAUAAAGCAAUGGUAUUUUCCCUAAAAGGAAGUCAUGGAUGCACGUCUAAAUUAUGUUUUAAUUAGAAUUGGCAAAAAUCCAAAAUUAGACAAUAUACGCGACCGUAUUUGCCGAAAUAGACAACAUAUCAUCGUAUUUACAAUUUUAGCAUCCAUAUUCGACACCUCAUUUACCGAAAAUUGACUUUCGGUACACUGUACACUGAAAAAAUGCGGGCCCGGCCAUAUUUGGCACACGCGUCUGCUUUUGUCGUGUCGCUGUCGCUUCGAUGUUUACUUUCUGCGCAAAUGGCUGGUAUGCAUGCAUGUUGCUUUACUUUUUGCGUGUGGGUGCGUCGUUUUGCUGCUUUCGGUGCGUCGCGUUGCCUGCAGCUCGCUACAAAAUGAGCAGUGAGGAGGAGCAGCAGAGGUGAGCAGCGGAGCGCAAGGCGAGGAGCUGCAACGCAGCGCGAGGCAAGGAGUAGCAGUGCAGCGCGAGGCAAGUAGCAGUGCAGCGCGAGGAGAGGAGGAGCAGCAGCGCGAGGAGAUGAGCAGCAGCAUCGCAAGGAGAGGAGGAGCAGCAACGUGAGGAGAGGAGGAGCAGCAGCGCGAGAUCAGUUAUAGUGUUCCCGGAAGACGCUGAGUUGAUCAACAAAGAAAUUUCAAACUUCUUGGUGAUGUAUAUGCUCUUCUGCGGGGGUGUGAUGCCUGGUUCGCAUAGAAGACGACGGAGAUUAGCGAACCUAAGGGGUAUAAGGGUUCCCUCUACUAUUCAACCAGAAAAUGAUGAGGCUGAUGAGGACGAUGAUUUCAUGCCACCAAUGCCUUAAUGUUCCAGCAAUAAUACAGGAGAAGGUUCAAGGAACACUGCAUGGACUGGCACAACUGGUAUUCUUUCACAAGUUUACGUCGUCACUUUUCAUCGCCAUCUUGAGAUGAUCUAGAUAGUCAACAGCUAUGCACUAUGCAUCUUGAGAUCAAUGAUACAAGGGAGAAUAUUGAACUACUACAUUUUAAGGAUGCUUACAGCCUUUGAGACUACAUGGUGAAUUAAGAAUUUUCAAAUGUACAUUUAAAUUAGCAAAUAAUUUCUAAUUUUAUCGAUACUUGGCAAUUUCUAACAUUAAUGUGCUUAGGCUCAAACCAUGACAUAUGUUUAUAUCUAUGUUUUGACUCAGCCUUUAGAUAAGAAGUGACUAGAGCUUUAAGCAUAAAAUGCAACACCUCUAUCAUGACUCUAUAUGUUUAGACACGAAGUGACCACAUAACAGAGCUUCAAACAUGAAAUGGCAACACGCCUCUUUCUGUCUCUGUCGGCGGACGUUACGUGACGCAGCCGGUCCCGGUAUAAAAUAACAAACACUAAGUGUUAUGUGAUGUAGCAUUUCCCGGCAUAAAAUAACAAUAUCAAAGGGGCGGCAACCGGGGCCAGGCCAUAUUCGGCAUAUGAGGUGCCGAAUAUGGCACUGUAGCCCAUAUUCGGUGCCGAAUACAAUUAAUAUUCGGCACAUGAGGUGCUGAAUAUGGGCUACAGUGCCAUAUUUGGCACCUCGUGUGCCGAUUAUGGCUGGGCCCACGUUUUUUCGGCGUACAGUGUACCGAAAGUCAAUUUUCGGUAAAUGAGGUGCCGGAUAUGGAUGCUAAAAUUGUAAAUACGACGAUAUGUUGUCUAUUUCGGCAAAUAUGAUCGCGUAUGUUGUCUAAUUUUGGAUUUUUGCCGUUAGAAUUUGACAUUCCUGUUACAUGACUGCCUGUAUCUCCUUCAAUGCAAGCAAUUCAACUAUGAUAUCAACUGGUUACUAUGUUUCAAUUAUUUUUCUCAUGAACACCGGUCUAUCUUUCAUUGUUAGAAACAAUAAAAGAGUAGAGGCUUGUGAAGUAUUGAUCAUUCAGGGGGCAGUUUCCCUUGCAGGAAUGACGAGAACAAGGUGAGCGCCCUUUGGGGUUGGUAGGUAGGAACCACAUGUCCAACUCCUCUGACUGUUGCAAAUACCAGGCCUUUGUACCGAACAACAUAGCCUCCAACCUGCCAUCUCAUAAAGAAACAAAACUGUUUUCAGAACCCUCCAUGACAACAAAUGGUUAGACUAUAUCGUUUUAUGCUUUUGCGCCUAUACCUCACCAUCAUCAGAAUACCAUGGCCGCCAUGAUCUGCAGCCCUAGAAUGUCUAAAGAAUAUAGUGUUGAAGUUACUGGGCACACAGCAUCGAUGUCACCAACAACAACAACAACAACAACAACAAAGCCUUUCAGUCCCAAACAAGUUGGGGUAGGCUAGAGAUGAAACCCAUCAUCGAUGUCACCACUAAAAGUUAAAAUGAAUUGUUUCUUUGUAGGGUGGUCUAGACAGACAUAGAGAUUAUAUAAACUUUAGGGGGUGUUUGAAUAAAGGGGUUGUUUGAAUAAAGGGGUUGCUCUAGUAUUUUUCUUUCUGGAUUUUACUGAAAUUUGAACCAAAUCCUAAGGAUUGGAUCCAAAUGGCCCAUAUCCGAACAGGCCCUUAGUAAUGCAUGUGCUUACUCCACUUGAAAUCAAUUUCUGAAUAGAUGGUAGCAUACAGACUUGUGCAUCUUUCCAUUUUUCAGGAGAAAUGAUAUGACUGGUGCUCAAAAAGCAUACAAAACUUGGUUAACCUAUCAGAAGGCUAAAUGGAACAUGGUUAACCUAUCAACUAAAUUUAUUAUGAAAUAGUUGAAAGAGCAUGGGGUAUGUUCCUUUCACCUGCAAUCCGACCAUGGCUACUUCAAUCCUGUGGUGUUAGCAUGAAGUGCUCUCUGCACCUCUGGGCUGUUUGUUGGUUACCUGCAACACCAUACCAUGAGUUGGGGAGAAGUAGAACUUGGUUAAAAUCUGGGAGAGCAUUUUACCGAGGCAUGCUGCUGUUGGGAAUCAGAAGCAUUCCAGCAGAAGGAUGCAUAGAUGUUGUAUUGAUCGAUGAGGCCCUUCUCAUUGUUAGCUGCUUCUAUCGCAGUUCUACAGCGUCCCGUGUAUGUUCCAUUAAAGCUGCAAUUUUCCUGAACUGCCUUGCGAGUUUCUUUGGCGAUCAUAGCAUGCUUCCAGUAGUAAUCAAUGAUUGCUCUUGUGUUUGUGUCAUCAUCCAGGUAUGCAUUCCUGAUCUAUUCCCAACAAGUGAAUUCUAUAAUAUAAUAUGUAUAUAUAUUUUGAGUCAAUAUCAUUGGAAGCAUUACUAACUGUUAUUGUCCCAUUACUUACAGCAACUCCUUUGAGAUUGAUCAUAGUGAUAUUCAUGAUUUUGUUAUUUGACAGAGUUGUGUUGGCAAGCUGUGGUAUGUAGUGGCCGCCGUAGCUUUCACCAGUUAUAAAGAAGUUGUGGUCCUUGUACUAUGGGAACCUCUCAAACCAAUUGAUGAGGAAAGUAUACGCAUCUGCCGCGGUGCUCCUGUCACCAGUGUUAUUGUAAUCUGAUGUUCUGUUCGAGUAUAAGAAGCCAACACCAGCAGGGCUCUCAAGGAAGAGCAUGUUUGCCACUGCCAUCCGGAAAUUACAAGUCAGCACGGAGGUAUUAUGAAUGUAACUGGCAUAUGUAACCUUGUGGAAAUCUGCUUACCAUUGUUCCAGGCGUAGUUGUUUGUGGACAGUGUUUUGUUAUCUCCGUUGACGAAGAAUGGUCCAAUUUCAAGCAUAGCUCCUCCCAGAGAAGAACAACCAGGCCCUAAAAUUUCAAGAUGGAAACGGCAUAAUAGUGAGUUCUGGAGAGUCUUCAAUUCAAAAUCUGUUGUGCAGCGUCAAGGAUUGGUGUGCUCAACAAAUUACCUACUUUGAGCGUAAUAUUAGGAUUUGCGAAGCAGACCAUCAUGACUGAAACUUUAUAUGGUUCACGUCAGUAGACCCACACACAACAAAAACCCGACUGGAAUCUGAAUUGUUGAAGGGCAGAUCAAUCAGCAAGUAAUUGGCUUUGCAUCAACAUCAGGUAUCUUGUUCUCUUCUCCUUUUCUUUGCACCGUUCUGGGUUCACAGAUUCGAAGAGAUAUCCAUUAAAGUGUAGCAUAUAGGAUGGAAGAUGCUCUAUGCAGUGUAACUCGAAUAAUAUUUACAGCUUCCUUAUCCAAUGCAACCAGUAGGGCCAGAUUUGUUCCAGGGCCAACAUUUGAGCGGGCACUACAACAACAUAAUGCAACUGUAGAUGCUUACGAACAGCUUUCACUCAAUCAAAUUAUGUUGUUAGCUUCUUUACACGGUAGUAAUUAGUAUUUAGGCUUGUGUUUGUUAUGAGGUUACGACAACCAGCUUAGCUAACCUUAACCCAGCAAGGUUAGCUUAACCCAUAUUUUAUAUUUUGGCUACUAACCUAGUUAAGCUAAUCAUUUUGUCUAGAUUAGGUAGGUCAGCUUGGUUACCAGUAGAAAAAAGUGGUGGGUUAGCAUAUCGUAAUCCUUUUUUUUAGCGGAAAAUGAGGGGAAAAACGGUAAGGGAAGCCCUACCAAUGGUAAUAUUAUUACUAAUAAAAAAAAAGAAAGGAGAACUGAACAAACAAGGAAAAAAGAAAAAACACAGACCUGUACAAGGAAAGAAACACAGAAAAACACAGGGAAAGAAAGGGAGAGGGGG